AUGCAAGUCGAACGAUGAACCAGGAGCUUGCUCUUGGGGAUUAGUGGCGAACGGGUGAGUAACACGUGAGUAACCUGCCCUUGACUCUGGGAUAAGCGUUGGAAACGACGUCUAAUACCGGAUACGAGCUUCAGCCGCAUGGCUAGGAGCUGGAAAGAAUUUCGGUCAAGGAUGGACUCGCGGCCUAUCAGCUAGUUGGUGAGGUAAUGGCUCACCAAGGCGACGACGGGUAGCCGGCCUGAGAGGGUGACCGGCCACACUGGAACUGAGACACGGUCCAGACUCCUACGGGAGGCAGCAGUGGGGAAUAUUGCACAAUGGGCGAAAGCCUGAUGCAGCAACGCCGCGUGAGGGACGACGGCCUUCGGGUUGUAAACCUCUUUUAGCAGGGAAGAAGCGAAAGUGACGGUACCUGCAGAAAAAGCACCGGCUAACUACGUGCCAGCAGCCGCGGUAAUACGUAGGGUGCAAGCGUUGUCCGGAAUUAUUGGGCGUAAAGAGCUCGUAGGCGGUUUGUCGCGUCUGCUGUGAAAUCCCGAGGCUCAACCUCGGGUCUGCAGUGGGUACGGGCAGACUAGAGUGCGGUAGGGGAGAUUGGAAUUCCUGGUGUAGCGGUGGAAUGCGCAGAUAUCAGGAGGAACACCGAUGGCGAAGGCAGAUCUCUGGGCCGUAACUGACGCUGAGGAGCGAAAGGGUGGGGAGCAAACAGGCUUAGAUACCCUGGUAGUCCACCCCGUAAACGUUGGGCGCUAGAUGUGGGGACCAUUCCACGGUUUCCGUGUCGUAGCUAACGCAUUAAGCGCCCCGCCUGGGGAGUACGGCCGCAAGGCUAAAACUCAAAGGAAUUGACGGGGGCCCGCACAAGCGGCGGAGCAUGCGGAUUAAUUCGAUGCAACGCGAAGAACCUUACCAAGGCUUGACAUAUACGAGAACGGGCCAGAAAUGGUCAACUCUUUGGACACUCGUAAACAGGUGGUGCAUGGUUGUCGUCAGCUCGUGUC
Molecule: ribosomal RNA, 1001 nt
Filed under: Plantibacter sp.
Lineage: Bacteria; Bacillati; Actinomycetota; Actinomycetes; Micrococcales; Microbacteriaceae
Description: bacterial SSU rRNA
Rfam family: Bacterial small subunit ribosomal RNA
Source: RNAcentral